ACGAAGCGGUGACGUGGAGCAAACCNCAGAAAGCCAAUCUCAGUUCGGAUUGUAGGCUGCAACUCGCCUACAUGAAGUUGGAAUCGCUAGUAAUCGCGAAUCAGAAUGUCGCGGUGAAUACGUUCCCGGGCCUUGUACACACCGCCCGUCACACCAUGAGAGUCGGUAACACCCGAAGCCUGUAGUCUAACCGCAAGGAGGACGCAGUCGAAGGUGGGAUUGAUGACUGGGGUGAAGUCGUAACAAGGUACC
RNAcentral lists this ribosomal RNA (252 nucleotides) under uncultured bacterium. Its description in RNAcentral is "partial 16S ribosomal RNA". It matches the Rfam family "Bacterial small subunit ribosomal RNA", at positions 1249 to 1500 of the family's 1533-position model. The record is from RNAcentral.